GUUAGAAAUUCUUUACCUGCUCUGGCGGCAAUACUAAAACGUGUUUGUUACAAACAAAUUUAUUCCACAGCAGUUAAGAAACGGAUGAACAAAGUGAAGGGAUUACAUUGUAAACAAGAUGUAAUAAAUUAAACAAGAGUGCCAUUCAUUAUCAUCUGCAUUCUGCAAUACACGGAAAUUCUCAAAAGUGAUUAAAACUUAUUAAAACCGUUACCAAUAUGGCCGUAAAACUAUCAGCCAUUUUGUUCGCAUAUUUUGCGAUUAUUAGUGUUACCACACUGUUAACAGAAGCAAAUCCAAUGAAAGAAAAACCCACAGUUGACAAAAACAUCAAAACAUCAAUUACUGAUGAAAUGGAUACGUCCCCACAAUCAAACGACCAAGAGGAGGAUAUAAAAGGAGCUGAAUCGGCAUAUUCGCCAUAUUAUUUCGGAUAUCCGUAUUAUUCACUUUAUUCGCCAUAUUCACAUUUAUACAAACCAUACUUGCAUUAUCCUUAUCAUUAUCCAUACUUGAUCGGCAAAUAAUUUUAAUUUUCUGUGUAUUUAAGCUUAAAAUUUAAUGAUGUGUUCAUAAAUUAAUGAUAACUUUGAAUUGCACAUGUUAAUCUCCAGUAAAAUGAUUAAAUAUGUUUAGUAAGUUU
Molecule: long non-coding RNA, 643 nt
Organism: Dalotia coriaria
Lineage: Eukaryota; Metazoa; Arthropoda; Insecta; Coleoptera; Staphylinidae
Exons: 3
Source: RefSeq, a predicted model, not a curated record